AAAUGGUUUGGGAGGCUGAAAAAAGGUGGGAGGCUGGAGGGCAGUAGGGCCAGAAAAAAAUUGGAGGUCGAAGAAAGGUGGGAGGCUGAAAAGGGGUGGGAGGCUGGAGGUCAGUAGAGGACAGAAAA
Athene cunicularia (burrowing owl) is the source of this 128-nucleotide long non-coding RNA. RefSeq lists it as uncharacterized. The transcript has 2 exons. The record is from RefSeq and is a predicted model, not a curated record. NCBI's taxonomy places the organism in Eukaryota, Metazoa, Chordata, Aves, Strigiformes, Strigidae.